UGACACAGACAGUCCAUGAUCGGACACAUCUUGAAUAAAUGUGUUAAUUAGCUUUAGUACUGAUCAGAUUGAUAUUAGUUAGACAAGCCUGAUGUUGUCAUUUUUCUCCAUGAGACACUGGAUUCAAACUCUGUGCCAAACAGCAGUGGAUGUGUGAAACGCCAGGACGUUUUAGUGGUGGACUGUAUUUUCUGUGAUGGUGAAAAAAAUAGGGAAGCAAUUUCUGCAGUUGCAGACUGGAUAAAAAACUAAGUUUAGAGACCACUAAGGACGGGUAGCAGAAUGACACUGAGGAUUGAUAAAUCACCUCAUCAACCAUUCAGAAAGAUCCUGUGACUCUGACAACUACAUACCUCAACUCUUCACAGUUGAGAUCCGCUUUAGCUUGUGUCUAUCGAAUACAGAUGUUUUUAGCGAGUGCUUCAAGUGCAGAUAUUUGCAAUAAUGUAAUCAGCUGUCUAAUUAUUAUUCAGUUUAUUCCAGCCACAGUGAACUAAAAACAGACGUCAUUUGUCUCAGAGGUCUUUGUUUUAUUGACUAUGGCAUGUGCUUGAAUUGUAUUUACAGAAGCCUAGCAUGUUGACAGGCAUUUACAAACCAUUAUACUGAAUAGUUCAAAAAUCCUACUGGCUACUAAUGUAUGCAAAUAAAUGACCUGACAGUGAGUGUACAAAGCAGUAUAACUCUCCUUGCUGCAUGGCAAAGCCCAUGUAUGAUGAUAAACUAACGUUCAGUUCUUCUGUCUAAUGCCUUAUGUUAAUGUAGAGGCAAAUAUAAUUACUUAACUCAUUUAUGUGUAUUUAUUAAGAGAUUUUCAGUGAAUUGUUUCUGUGUUGGUGUUACGUAAUUAUACUGUAUUUAAUCUGCAUGAUGUAUUGAUAGAUUCUGUCUGCUACUGUGCCUUUACUCUAAAUCGUUGCCUGUAAUUAGAAAAAUGCUUAUAAUUACAAAUCACAGUAAAUUUGGUGUAAAACUGUAAAGUGUAAGUGUAAAAAGUGUGUUCGUGUCUUUUGUUCAACGGUAGAAAAUAA
Long non-coding RNA from Sinocyclocheilus anshuiensis, 1031 nucleotides. RefSeq lists it as uncharacterized. NCBI's taxonomy places the organism in Eukaryota, Metazoa, Chordata, Actinopteri, Cypriniformes, Cyprinidae. The record is from RefSeq and is a predicted model, not a curated record. The transcript has 3 exons.